Molecule: non-coding RNA, 127 nt
Organism: Caenorhabditis elegans
Lineage: Eukaryota; Metazoa; Nematoda; Chromadorea; Rhabditida; Rhabditidae
Source: Ensembl
AUAUAACAGGAGAAGGGGAUAACUUUCUGCCAAAUUUAACAUGGGAUGAGUGGGAAAAGGGAAGAAGACAUAUACACACAAUAUAUCCCGUUGAGAUUUCAAUCUUGAAUGCUGUUGAAGAGGUUGA